AGAGCGGUAGCCCGGAGAUGGGCACUGAGACAAGGGCCCAGGCCCUACGGGGCGCAGCAGGCGCGAAACCUCCACAAUGCACGCAAGUGUGACGGGGCUACCCCGAGUGCCAUCCGCUGAGGAAGGCUUUUCCUUGGUGUAACUAGCCGGGGGAAUAAGGAGAGGGCA
RNAcentral lists this ribosomal RNA (168 nucleotides) under Candidatus Bathyarchaeota archaeon. RNAcentral's name for it is "partial 16S ribosomal RNA". It matches the Rfam family "Archaeal small subunit ribosomal RNA", at positions 279 to 448 of the family's 1478-position model. The record is from RNAcentral. Lineage: Archaea; Thermoproteati; Candidatus Bathyarchaeota.